CGGUUCUAUUUUGUUGGUUUCUAGAGUCGCCGUAAUGAUUAAUAGGGAUAGUUGGGGGUAUUCGUAUUCAAUUGUCAGAGGUGAAAUUCUUGGAUUUAUGGAAGACGAACUACUGCGAAAGCAUUUACCAAGGAUGUUUUCAUUAAUCAAGAACGAAAGUUAGGGGAUCGAAGAUGAUUAGAUACCAUCGUAGUCUUAACCAUAAACUAUGCCGACUAGGGAUUGGCGGUCGUUACCUAGACUCCGUCAGCACCUUCCGAGAAAUCAAAGUCUUUGGGUUCCGGGGGGAGUAUGGUCGCAAG
Molecule: ribosomal RNA, 302 nt
Filed under: Chaetoceros curvisetus
Lineage: Eukaryota; Bacillariophyta; Thalassiosirophyceae; Chaetocerotales; Chaetocerotaceae
Description: partial Eukaryotic small subunit ribosomal RNA
Rfam family: Eukaryotic small subunit ribosomal RNA
Source: RNAcentral